This 250-nucleotide ribosomal RNA is filed under the name uncultured prokaryote. RNAcentral describes it as "partial 16S ribosomal RNA". It matches the Rfam family "Bacterial small subunit ribosomal RNA", at positions 524 to 773 of the family's 1533-position model. The record is from RNAcentral.
UACGUAGGGAGCAAGCGUUAUCCUGAUUUACUGGGUGUAAAGGGCGUGUAGGCGGCAAGGCAAGUCAGAAGUGAAACCCGUCGGCUUAACCGACGACCUGCUUUUGAAACUGUCGAGCUAGAGUACUGGAGGGGUAUGCGGAACUCCUGGUGUAGCGGUGAAAUGCGUAGAUAUCAGGAAGAACACCGGUAGCGAAGGCGGCUUACUGGACAGUUACUGACGCUCAGGCUCGAAAGCGUGGGGAGCAAAC